UGAUGGUGCUUGCACCUGAUUGAUUUUGGUCGCCAACGAGUGGCGGACGGGUGAGUAACACGUAGGUAACCUGCCCAGAAGCGGGGGACAACAUUUGGAAACAGAUGCUAAUACCGCAUAACAACGUUGUUCGCAUGAACAACGCUUAAAAGAUGGCUUCUCGCUAUCACUUCUGGAUGGACCUGCGGUGCAUUAGCUUGUUGGUGGGGUAACGGCCUACCAAGGCGAUGAUGCAUAGCCGAGUUGAGAGACUGAUCGGCCACAAUGGGACUGAGACACGGCCCAUACUCCUACGGGAGGCAGCAGUAGGGAAUCUUCCACAAUGGGCGCAAGCCUGAUGGAGCAACACCGCGUGAGUGAAGAAGGGUUUCGGCUCGUAAAGCUCUGUUGUUAAAGAAGAACACGUAUGAGAUUAACUGUUCAUACGUUGACGGUAUUUAACCAGAAAGUCACGGCUAACUACGUGCCAGCAGCCGCGGUAAUACGUAGGUGGCAAGCGUUAUCCGGAUUUAUUGGGCGUAAAGAGAGUGCAGGCGGUUUUCUAAGUCUGAUGUGAAAGCCUUCGGCUUAACCGGAGAAGUGCAUCGGAAACUGGAUAACUUGAGUGCAGAAGAGGGUAGUGGAACUCCAUGUGUAGCGGUGGAAUGCGUAGAUAUAUGGAAGAAACACCAGUGGCGAAGGCGGCUACCUGGUCUGCAACUGACGCUGAGACUCGAAAGCAUGGGUAGCGAACAGGAUUAGAUACCCUGGUAGUCCAUGCCGUAAACGAUGAGUGCUAGGUGUUGG
RNAcentral lists this ribosomal RNA (786 nucleotides) under Limosilactobacillus fermentum. Its description in RNAcentral is "bacterial SSU rRNA". It matches the Rfam family "Bacterial small subunit ribosomal RNA", at positions 68 to 826 of the family's 1533-position model. The record is from RNAcentral. Lineage: Bacteria; Bacillati; Bacillota; Bacilli; Lactobacillales; Lactobacillaceae.